ACAACAGUGAGAGGCCCGCGUACCGCAAAAAAAAUAAAAUGAAAUAAAACAGGAGGGAUUGAUUCUCCUCACCUAAUGUGUGACUUUGAGCAAAUACCUCCAUUUCUCAGGACCUCAGUUCCCUCAUUCAUGAAACGGGGAGAAUUAUGGCACCAUCUCCUAAGGUUGUCAGGAUCAGAAGAGAGAGCGUGGUGGAAGUGCCAUGUGAAUUAUUUAGCGCUGUCCAUAUUCAUUUUCUGUUGCUCAUCUCUUCCCCUAUUGACACUUGGGGCACCUCAGCCACAGCCCUGUCUUUCUGAGGGAGUGAGCGUGGCCUCCGGGACAAAGGAGCCUGAGUCUGCAGCGGGCCCUUUGUGCUUCCUUCCCUUCAGGUGGCCUCUCUCCCCCUGGGCCACUCCUGGGGGUGAGGGGGUUACCCCUUCCCAGUGUUUUUGUUCCUGUGGGGCUCACUCCAAAGUAUUAAAAGUAGCUUUAUAAUUUAAAAAAAAAAGGAAAAAGAAAGGAGGGCUCAUUUAUGAUAAAGGUCUCUAUGACAAGGGCUCAUCUCUCAGAUGGGGGAAGGGCGCAUACCCCUUGGACCCUGGGCCAUGGGAGUGCCAGGAGGGUCAGCAUAUGGGGUAGAGGGAGGUCUGUGCUGUAGGGCAAGGGGUGUAGUCAGAGAGGGGUGGAAGCUAUGGUUGUGCUGGUUCACUCACUUUGCUAUUGAACUUCCCCAGGCGCUCAUCUUCAGCACCUUUGUCUUACCUCCUGGGUCUCCUCCAUCUACCAAUAAGAAACCAUGUUGGGAGGGCGCAGCUCUGGGAUGAGGUCUAGGGGAACAGGAGCUACUGGGUCCCUGGGAGCCUCUUUUGGGACUCUUUGACCUUGACAACCCCUUGUCCCUCUCCCCUGGGCCCCAGGUCAGCACACCAGUUUCUUCCUGACCAAAGAGCAGAGCCACGCCCAAAUGAAUGAAUUUUCCUGGAAGGAUGUUGCCAGUGCCUUGUCCGUGGCCAACAUGAUCCUGGGGCUCUUCUCCAUCUUCUGCAGUUUCUGCAAGAAGUCCCCCUGUGCCUCCUGGAUGCUUUUGGUCAGCUUUCUAUUAGACAUGGCUAUCGGGGCAAUGACCAGACACCUCUACAUCUGCUCCACAUCAGGAGCCAAGCUGAAUGACUUUGCUGUCUUCACCACCUUUGGCCUGGCCUCAGCCCUGCUUCUAGGCAUGGAUGGGCCUCUGAAUGGCUUCCUGGCCAUCAUCUAUGUGUUGGCUAUUUCAGUCCGCCUCUGUUUCUAUUCAGCUGGCGUUCCCUUCACAUACAAGGGUCUACCCUGCCCCUAUGCUUCCUGUGUUUUGGCCUCCACCUCCCUCCUGACCAAAGGCAACACAUUCAUUCUCUCUUGCAUGGCUUCAUUCAUGAUUCUAUUCAUGAUGGACCAGAGCUACUACCCACAUGACGAAAUCCUGGAGUCUGAGAACUGGAAAAAAAUGGUCUAUCUGGGAGGAAGGAUUUACAAAGGUCAGAGUGGGAGCAACAAUAAUAUACCCUGGUGUGAGGAUUACAUGUGGUGAUGCAUGUGCCUGGCACAUCUGAGGAGCUCAACAAGGGCCAGCUGCAUCGACAGUGCAAGAUCGGUCCUACCACAAAAGCUCUGCGCCAGGAGUCAUCUGGUACCGGUCGGGGUUCUGACACUUGGCAUGUGACUCUGGAACCUCAGUGAUCUCCUCUGGAAACCUGGGAUAACACCUGUUUUGGCUGGAUUGGCUGGAGGCAGGUGGAUCCAUGACUUGGCUUCUAUAUACUUCUUAGUCAGCUCUGACCUGGAUGGUACAGAAGAAGGCGGAUCUAAAAACAAAAAAAGAACGAACGAACGAACUUCCAUUCACUAAUGCCAUACCUCAGCCCCUUCCUUUGGCAGGGGAGGCAGAGGGGCCCGGGGAAAAGGGCGCUGCAUUGGAGGAGUAAAACCUGAGUCCCACUGCCACCACCUCGCUGGGUGUCUCUAGGCAAAUCUCCUCCCCACUCUGAGCUUUAGUUUUCUCCGUCUGCACAAUGGGACAACAGUCCAUCCCCUGGCCCCCUCCCACGAGCUGCCGUGUGCGCACCAAAUGCGAAGAGCCCUGUGAACGGUUUCCUACACUGUAGCGCGCUGCAUCCAGCGUGGGACCGCCAGAAUUACGAGGACACCGCGGCCCAAAGGGACCGACCGGCCGAAGUCUCGAAGCGGGCUGACGGAGAGCCCAAGGCUCGCGCGGCCUCCAGCCUCCGGACCAGGGCUUUCCCACCUCUGCCCUCCCAGAAGGUUACGGCCCGCUCGGCCCGAGGGGCCCGCCCUCCUCCACCGCCCCGCCCGGGCCCAAGCCCGGCCCCAGGAGAGCUCCCCUCCCGCCGCCGCCCACUCCCGGUGCAAAACGGCGGCUGGAGACGGGCGGCGCUCGGGAGUCGCGGCCUUCCCUCCCGGGUCUCGGGACUCGGACAAGGGCCCAAGGGUGAACCCCCGCCUUCCCCUACCUCCCAGCCUGCAGUACGAGCCUGCCGCGCCUCGGAUUGGGCGGGGCCGGGAGGCGGAGGGCGGGCCGGCGCGUCGAGGCCCCGCCCACAGGGAGGCCCGCGCGUGCGUAGAGAGCGUGUCUGGACGCCUCGCAUCGGUGCUGGUGCUGGAGCUGGAGCUGGAGCUGGAGAUGGGGCAGGGGC
Non-coding RNA from Delphinapterus leucas (beluga whale), 2672 nucleotides. The record is from RefSeq and is a predicted model, not a curated record. Lineage: Eukaryota; Metazoa; Chordata; Mammalia; Artiodactyla; Monodontidae.